GGAAGAUUUAUCCGUGUCUAAGGAUUUGCGGGUUGCAAUUGUACGAAAUUUGAGUUCAGGGUGGUAUUUGUUGGGGAACGUCGCAUGGGAAACAAAAAAUUUCCUACGCGCACGAAGACCUAUCAUGGUGAUGUCCAUCUACGAGAGGGGAUGUGUGAUCUACGUACCCUUGUAGACCGUACAGCAGAAGCGUUAGUGAACGCGGUUGAUGUAGUGGAACGUCCUCACGUCCCUCGAUCCGCCCCACGAACCGUCCCGCGAUCAGUCCCACGA
This 273-nucleotide long non-coding RNA is filed under the name Hordeum vulgare. RNAcentral describes it as "long non-coding RNA (HVUL_LNC001287)". Lineage: Eukaryota; Viridiplantae; Streptophyta; Magnoliopsida; Poales; Poaceae. The record is from RNAcentral.